UGUACUAAAUGUGCACUAUCCAACAUUCC
RNAcentral lists this non-coding RNA (29 nucleotides) under Homo sapiens (human). Lineage: Eukaryota; Metazoa; Chordata; Mammalia; Primates; Hominidae. The record is from RNAcentral.